Molecule: small RNA, 106 nt
Filed under: Marmota monax (woodchuck)
Lineage: Eukaryota; Metazoa; Chordata; Mammalia; Rodentia; Sciuridae
Source: RNAcentral
GCUGGGCAUGGUGGUGCAUGCCUGUAAUCCCAGUGGCUCAGGAGACUGAGGCAGGAGAAUCACAAGUUAGUGAAGCUCUAAGCAACUUAGUGAGACCCUGUCUCAA